This is an RNA transcript of Diorhabda carinulata, 4037 nucleotides long. RefSeq lists it as uncharacterized. The record is from RefSeq and is a predicted model, not a curated record. NCBI's taxonomy places the organism in Eukaryota, Metazoa, Arthropoda, Insecta, Coleoptera, Chrysomelidae. The transcript has 4 exons.
UUUUAGGUUAAAUCCAAUAAAAACUAUUUUAGGAAAUAUUUAAUGAAAAUAUAUAAAUAAUAUAAAUUUUAUUCCGUAUUUCCCCACCAUAGGUUACUAAGUGAAGAUGCAUUUGUCGUUACCAACAAUUUAGGUAAUACGUCUAACUCAAUUUUGGCCAAAAAUAGACAUGAGGAAUAAGGUUUUUCUCAAAUUACUGAUUCAAUUAUUACUCUGUUGACAAGAAUAUUGCAAGGUGUGAAAAUUGUGAACGGGUAAUUGAAUAUUUUUCAGCAAGUAGCAGUAAACUAAAAAUACAAACGACCAAAAAGGAGAAAACUUAUUUGAAUUUGUUUUACGAGCGCAAUGGGGAAAAAUGUUCCAGAAGUAAUAGUAGUAGAGUGUUUCAAAAUUAUGGCGAUUCGAGGACAGAUCGUUAUAUACCGUCUCCAAAAAGUAUAACAACUUAUGGUGAUACCCAGAUUAUCGAUGACGAUGUCGAUUCAAUGUAUUUGAAAAGUAAUAUUUCAGAAUCGGAAAUAAGUUGUAACUGCGAAAAAGUAAAUUCCUUAAUGGUACCGGAAUUGCAUCUCAAUUCAAACAGCAGCUUAAAGUAUCAAAGUUUAUCUGAUGUUAACUUUAACAGUUACAAAUCCCCUCAAUUGAUUGUUUGCCAAAAAAAUCGGAGUGUAUAUAAAACGAACAAUAAUAAUUUCAGUACAGUUGGAUCGGUACCAGUAAAUGAUAAAUUGGAAUCUUGGAAAAGAAGACAACAAUAUGGUAGGAAAGUUAGUGAAUCUAAUCGAAUAAAGAUGAACGAAAGAAGAAUUUUGAGAAAUUUGGAAAGGGAACUUCAAAAUUCAAAAAUAUGUGUGUAGUAUAUCUUCAAGUUGACUGUUUUUGUAAAAUACCAUUUAAGGGAGAAGUACAUAUGAAUGUCAUUUUUGAUAUUAGUCUGAUGAUGCUAGAAAAUUGUUAAAGUUUAGUUUAUCAAGUUUCUACAUAUAAUUAUAUCCAGAUUCCAAUACAGUCCAGCAUUUUAUUAUAAUGGUUUUACCAUAAAAGAAUAUUCUCCAAAUAAAUUUUCUUGAAAUUACUUCACACUUUCUACAUUUCUAGCCUCAGAGGCUAAUGUACCUAUACUCUCCUUUUCCAUUAAAAAACCUAUAAAUGUAAGGAUUUAACUAAAAAACAUGACUUUUAUAUAUUCUUUAUUAAUGUUUGUAAUUACAAACAAUCGCUAUUGGUACCCAGUGCAAUUAAGCAGACAAAAAUCUCUUAAAUUUAUGUGGCCCCUUAGUUAAAAAAAACAUUUUACGGUUGCACAUAAUAUUGUAGUUACAUAAAUUACAAAAUAUAUAUAAACGAAAUGCACAAAAAUACAUAUUUAACAAAUAAUAAAAAAUCAUUUUGGAAAGAAAUAUUUUUGUACAUUUUGUAUGAAAGAAUUGAUGUUAAAAAAGAUAGAAGGGUAAAUUUUAUACGUCAAAUUUGUGACUACUUGAUUUAUAAAAAUUUAAUUACUGUUGUCUGCCGAAAAAAAAAAUGUAAUUAUAAAAUUUGGCACCAUCUUUUUCGAUUUUAGUACCACUUUUAUAAGACUGAGUUCUAAGUACACAUUAGGCCACUGCUGCUACGUAACAUGUUUUUUCGAGUAGCAAUCAUAUCAAAUCAAGUUUAUGUACAUGCUGAUACAUAAAACGAAUUACCCCUCUAGUUUUUUCAGCAUUUCUCCAAAUAAGUAAAUAUAAAUUACUUAUUGACUGGAAAAUUCAUUACAUUAUCUUAUAACUGUUUUAGAUAAUUUAGUAAAUUUUCAUUUAGUCUAUUUUUCAAUUUCAUUUAAGUAUAGUAAAUAUACUUUAACUUCGCAACGCUCUAUAUACAAAAAUAGGGAUUUAUUUAAAAUUAAAAAUAGAAAGCUGAUAGUAGUAGAGUCCAAACGUGAUUUUGGGACUAGAUCAAACCCGACAAAUUAAUAUUUUGUAAGAAAUCGUUGAUCUUCAGAAAUAUUUGAACAUGUCAGAUUAAAGUAAUUUGGGUUAAUUGAAGAAGAGUCAAAAAAUUUUUAUUUGAUAUUUUCGAGUGAGAUUGUUUUUAUUUUUAUUUGUAGAAAAUAAUACAAAAAUAAAUUUCUACAACUUGUAGUUGCCAAAAUCGUUGAUAAAUUUUAGUGGGUGCAGCUGGAGUGAAGCAUAUGUUUUCCACUCCUCAUCUGUCUUUAUCUUCCACUUUUUCUGUCUGAUUCUCUCAGAUACAAAUAUGUUUCCUCUAAUGAAUAUAAAGAUGGACAAAAAAUUUUUUUAAUUGUUUAAUUUUAAUUAAAAAAUCUACAGAAUUUUUCAUAUUAUAACUGACACAGGCGCAUGCCAUCUGUUGGUGUCAGUCGUUUAUGUUUAUGUAGUGGAAAUUAUAGAAAUAGUACAUCUAUUGGGUAACCGUUGAACUAGUUCAAGGCAUUUCUGGAAAAACUUGGCUGUUAAUAUAGAAGGUUCUACCAUGUUUUGGAACAUUACUUGUAUAAAGCAGGAGUAUAGUAUAUACGAGUGGUAUAAAGUGAUAUAUUUUCGAAGUGACAAUUACUAAAUUGUUAAUAGUAUUCUAAAUUAGUGUUAUAAUUGUCGUUCAAUAAAGUUCUGAGUGUUUACUAAUUUUAUCAAAAAACCAUACUCGAGAAAUGAUAAAAUAUUUUUAUUCCUAAACGCUUUCUUGGCAUAAAAUAUUUUCAACCAUCAGUUCUAGAAAACUCUUUGGAAUAUCCGUCAUAUUUUUUAAUAGCAUGACUGGAAUCAUUAGUAUUUGAAUUUUCAGGACUUACAUAACAUUGUCUUUGAACUGAUACACUUGAAUAUUUUUUUUCCUGCUGUCUCUCCUAGCAGUUAAAUAAAACUUCGUUAUAUAGACAGGUUGGAAUACCAAAACUAUUAAUAUCUGACACUACAGAAAGGAGAAAUAUUAAAAAACCUUCCACUCUUUCUGUAAUCUAAAAUAUUCUCCAUUUUUCUCAAGAAAACCCAAAUUUCUACUAUUGGACUCCCCUACUGUAAAAUCUUCGAUAAAAAAAUUAAUACUGAACAUAGACAACUGAAAAUUCCAAACAACAAUAAAUAUAUUAGUUAAUAUUAACUUAUCAAAACAUUUGUUUAGGUUUGUUAACAUUUUCUAUGGGUAUAACUUUUGUAUUUGUUUUGGCAUUAAUAUUUUGUCGGUUGUUUGCUCUAUUUUCCAAAUCAUUCGGAUUUUUCUUAGAUAUUUAGGAUCUAAAUUCUAAAAACGUAAAGCUUUGGGAAAUUCUGGAAAUAUUACAUGGACAUCUCUUUCUUCAUGUAAAGGUAUAUAUAAUAGUUUUAUUUUAGCUCCUUGGAAUUGUUUUCAUAUUUACUCUCAUUCUUUCCCUUGCCGUGAGUUCUUACUAUUAUGACGAUAUACUGUGAAUUGAAUACCCGUAUAAAUUUCUAUCUGUUUUAUCUUCUCUUGUUCUUAGCCUAUUCUCUCUAAGUUGUUUCCUAAGACAUUCUGCUGUAUAUACUUCUGUUGAACAAGAAUAUUUCUUUUGUUAAUUGUUUCAGAUAUGGUUUGGUUUGAUUUCCUUCUUGACAAGCAACUUAGCAAGACAUUUGUUUACUUCUGUUCAUUAUACACCACUGUACUUCACAUUUAUCACAUACAUGAAGAUUUUUUCAAUUAUUGACUUUAACUUUCAAAUUUAUUUUUUUUUGUAUUUCUCUUUCUGUUGUUUUUUCUCUUUGUAUACCUGAAUCAAUUAAUAUAUAUUUCAUUUUCUAUCGUUCCUAUUCUAUUCUCUUUAAGUUGUCUUUUUGGUUCUGUAUAACAUCUUUGCCACUAUGUUCUAUGUAUAUUUUUGGAAGGUUAUCUCAUUGAAAAUGUUUUAGAGUCCCUUUCUGUGAAUUGCUUCUGUUUUUUCUUCGUCCCUUUUCAGUUAAUUUCUUUACGGUUUCUUCUUAUAGCAGUUUCUAGGUAUUUUCACUAACUUCUACUCUUGUUAACUAUCUAUAUCGUACAUUGUUUUUUAAAAGAAUAAAAAUGAUUGUAAGGAA